UACGUAGGUGACCAGCGUUGUCCGGAUUUACUGGGCGUAAAGAGCGCGCAGGCGGUCGUUCAAGUCGAGUGUGAAAGCCCCCGGCUCAACUGGGGAGGGUCACUCGAUACUGAUCGACUUGAAGGCAGGAGAGGGAAGCGGAAUUCCCGGUGUAGUGGUGAAAUGCGUAGAUAUUGGGAAGAACACCAGCGGCGAAAGCGCGCUACUGGGCCAUUACUGACACUCAUGGACGAAAGCUAGGGGAGCGAAAGGG
This 253-nucleotide ribosomal RNA is filed under the name uncultured bacterium. Its description in RNAcentral is "partial 16S ribosomal RNA". It matches the Rfam family "Bacterial small subunit ribosomal RNA", at positions 524 to 776 of the family's 1533-position model. The record is from RNAcentral.